RNAcentral lists this ribosomal RNA (479 nucleotides) under uncultured bacterium. RNAcentral's name for it is "partial 16S ribosomal RNA". It matches the Rfam family "Bacterial small subunit ribosomal RNA", at positions 28 to 507 of the family's 1533-position model. The record is from RNAcentral.
GAUGAACGCUAGCGGGAGGCCUAACACAUGCAAGCCGAGCGGUAUUGUUUCUUCGGAAAUGAGAGAGCGGCGUACGGGUGCGUAACACGUGUGCAACCUGCCUUUAUCUGGGGGAUAGCCUUUCGAAAGGAAGAUUAAUACUCUAUAAUAUAUUGAACGGCAUCGUUUAAUAUUGAAAGCUCCGGCGGAUAGAGAUGGGCACGCGCAAGAUUAGCUAGUUGGUGAGGUAACGGCUCACCAAGGCGAUGAUCUUUAGGGGGCCUGAGAGGGUGAUCCCCCACACUGGUACUGAGACACGGACCAGACUCCUACGGGAGGCAGCAGUGAGGAAUAUUGGUCAAUGGGUGCAAGCCUGAACCAGCCAUCCCGCGUGAAGGACGACUGCCCUAUGGGUUGUAAACUUCUUUUGUAUAGGGAUAAACCUACCCUCGUGAGGGUAGCUGAAGGUACUAUACGAAUAAGCACCGGCUAACUCCGUG